RNAcentral lists this ribosomal RNA (362 nucleotides) under uncultured bacterium. RNAcentral describes it as "partial 16S ribosomal RNA". It matches the Rfam family "Bacterial small subunit ribosomal RNA", at positions 338 to 697 of the family's 1533-position model. The record is from RNAcentral.
CCUACGGGUGGCAGCAGUGAGGAAUAUUGGUCAAUGGACGGAAGUCUGAACCAGCCAUGCCGCGUGCAGGACGACGGUUCUAUGCGUUGUAAACUGCUUUUGUACGAGGGCAAACUCAGAUUCGCGUACCUGUCUGAAUGUACUUUACGAACAAGGAUCGGCUAACUCCGUGCCAGCAGCCGCGGUAAUACGGAGGAUGCAAGCGUUAUCCGGAUUUAUUGGGUUUAAAGGGUGCGUAGGCGGACGGUUAAGUCAGGGGUGAAAGCCCGGGGCUGAACUCCGGAGUAGCCUUUGAAACUGUUGGACUGGAGAGGGGGUGAGGUAGGCGGAAUGCAUAGUGUAGCGGUGAAAUGCUUAGAUAU